UACCAGCACCCCGAGUGGUCGGGACGUUUAUUGGGCCUAAAGCAUCCGUAGCCGGUUCUACAAGUCUUCCGUUAAAUCCAACUGCUUAACAGGUGGGCUGCGGAAGAUACUAUAGAGCUAGGAGGCGGGAGAGGCAAGCGGUACUCGAUGGGUAGGGGUAAAAUCCGUUGAUCCAUUGAAGACCACCAGUGGCGAAGGCGGCAUGCCAGAACGCGCUCGACGGUGAGGGAUGAAAGCUGGGGGAGCAAACCGG
RNAcentral lists this ribosomal RNA (253 nucleotides) under uncultured bacterium. RNAcentral's name for it is "partial 16S ribosomal RNA". It matches the Rfam family "Archaeal small subunit ribosomal RNA", at positions 474 to 727 of the family's 1478-position model. The record is from RNAcentral.